AGAGUUUGAUCAUGGCUCAGGAUGAACGCUGGCGGCGUGCUUAACACAUGCAAGUCGAACGAAGCAGUCUUGAUGAAGCCUUCGGGCGGAAUUAGGAUUGACUGAGUGGCGGACGGGUGAGUAACGCGUGGGUAAUCUGCCUCACACAGGGGGAUAACAGUUAGAAAUGACUGCUAAUACCGCAUAAGCGCACGAGAGGGCAUCCUCAAGUGUGAAAAGCCGAGACGGUGUGAGAUGAGCCCGCGUCUGAUUAGGUAGUUGGUGAGGUAACGGCCCACCAAGCCGACGAUCAGUAGCCGACCUGAGAGGGUGAUCGGCCACAUUGGGACUGAGACACGGCCCAA
RNAcentral lists this ribosomal RNA (344 nucleotides) under uncultured bacterium. Its description in RNAcentral is "bacterial SSU rRNA". It matches the Rfam family "Bacterial small subunit ribosomal RNA", at positions 8 to 334 of the family's 1533-position model. The record is from RNAcentral.